AUAACCAUCAAAGAAGAAUCAUGGGCGAAAAUAAUUAUUUGAGUACUAACAUUAAUUCUGUGUCACUGCCUACUCAGUGCCAUUAGAGGUAUUUUUCUUAUGUUACUAGUGCAAAUUGAGGACGAUUUGGAAAUUUCUCUUCUGACAAAUACUUCAGAGGGCAUCCUCCUUUCUCCUUUGGCUACAAACCCAGUUAACCUACCGUGGCCCUGAGACAGGCAUUGAAAGCUUCCAUUUGAUCUCAAGUUGUGCAGGAGUCAGCAAGAGGUCUUUAUUGAGCACUUUGAUGUACUAACGGGCUUUCCAGUGCCUUCCUCCCCUUCCUCUUAUUGUGUAGGUGAAGGAGCCAAGGCCAGAGAAGUCAAUGAAUGAGUACACACGUGUUGUGAGUAUAUGUGUAUCCUGAGCCCUCAUGCCCUCUCAACCCUACAUGUUAAGAACAAGACUUUCUCUUGUGUAACUACAGCACAUCGUGUAACUCAGCAUGUUUAAUAUUGAAAUCAGGUGGCAAAAUGACGAGAUUCUCUUUUACUCUAUUUGUUGACAUCGUUUGGAAGAAAUAGCUUUUCUUGGGAUACCUGGCUGGCUCCUUGGUGGAGCACAGUAUUCUUGAUCUCGGGGUUGUAAGUUUGAGCCCCAUGUUGGGUGUAGAGAUAACUUAAAAAUAAAAUCUUAAAAAAGAA
Canis lupus familiaris (dog) is the source of this 683-nucleotide long non-coding RNA. RefSeq lists it as uncharacterized. NCBI's taxonomy places the organism in Eukaryota, Metazoa, Chordata, Mammalia, Carnivora, Canidae. The transcript is spliced from 4 exons. The record is from RefSeq and is a predicted model, not a curated record.